CGUUAUUUAACUAAAUUAAUUUCUUGCUUUUUUGUCAGUUUUUUACAUUAAAAUGAUUUAAAAAUGACUAGAAUAAAAUCUACUUAAAUUGGUUGUUAAAGAUUUAGCUAUUAUUUUUGAAUAAUUCCAAAUAGAGAGAUUAUUGAAUGAAUCCAACGUAAUUUAAUUGAGUUGUUUUCAAUUUACAAGCAUUUCCUGUUAAAACGCGCGCUUUAAGCAAGCAGCUCUCCGACGUACACGAGGCAUGCACGCACUGGAGAUUGCCAGCUGCAGACAAAUCAUAUCUGGUUGCGCAAUAUUUUUUGAUUUGCUUAGUUCCUUAAUAUAUGAAUACAAGACACUGUUUAAUGUCAAAAGGGCAGCUGUAAAACUAUUCACGUCUGCAGUCGAACAGUUUAUGCUCACGAGGCCUGUUACGUUACUGGAGUUUCCCGCUGACAACCUGGAGGCAAAUCUCGUCAGCGCUCUUUUUUCAACGUUAAAUUCCUAACAAAGGUAAGGAAAUUUUAAUUUACAUAUGAAAAAAUAACUUGCAAAUUGUUCAAGUUGUCUACUUGAUGUAAUGUGAACGUCAUUGUUGUGUAACAUGUAACGUUAGUGCUGGCUUAAUUCGGACAUUUUGGUUGCUCAUAAAGUAUGGGACAUUGUGUUUUACACUAGGGCUGCAACGAUUAGUCGACGUUAAAAAUAACGUCGACAGUAAAAAAACUGGCGACAAAUAAUUUUGUUGUCGAGUAGUCAUUUGAUUUCAUAUUUAUUUAAUGGCCCGCAAUAACGUGGUUUGACCUGUGGGGCGCUGUAGCGCGACUACCCUUCCAGAGGCAACGCAAUAGAAGAACAUGGCGCUUAGCAAAGCAAGCUGAACUAGCAGAUAGGUCUAGCUGUCACGAUCGCCACAGAGAGCUUUUUGCAUCGUACGUCUAUUUCGCCUAGCUAGCAUAUAAACACAUUAACCUACCUUCAGUCGGUUUCUUCAACUCUUUCUUAACUCGUUAGCUUCGUUUCUUAACCCCCCAAAAACAUGUUCUCUUAGAAGCUGAGGUGUAUUAUUUAAAAUGCUGCAUCUGUGCCUGCAUAAGGGGAUCAAACGUCCCUGCUGAAUAAACAAUAUAUAUAAGUUAACCCUGCCCAAACAGCAUUUAAAAUGUAAUGAUUAUGGUAAUUUAGUGGAAUUGGUUUUAAUGGAAACUAAUAAUGGUCUAAUGUCUUGGUAUGCGAUGGAUUCUAUUGGUGGGAAUAAUGCUAAAAACAAAAAGGAGUUUUGUAACCGUUUUAAUGAAAAAAGUUUAUGGUUUAUAAUAAUAUUUUUAUUGUUUUUUUUCAGCUGGGGUAGCCUAUAUUUGUCUGAAAUAAUGUAAGUGGUAACCAAUCAUGAAUUCAGCAGCCCUUAGGGUAAUGUUUGACCACAGGAUAGAGAAGAUAACAUUGCCAUCUGGAAUACCAGAGUCCUUGGAAGAGUUGCACUCAACUGUCAAGCAGGCUUUAAAUAUUACAGAUUAUAUCAGUCUACAGUACAUGGAUUCAGAUUUUGAGUAUUUUUUACUCUUCAAUCAACAACUCAGAUUCAGCACAAAUCCACCAUUAAGGUUGUGACUGUUGCACCAAUAGUUCUUACUUUGUUGACAGAUCGAGGGAGCUUUUCUGGCGUUUAUGCAUGGCAGACAAGCAUUAAAUACAAAAUGGCUAACUACCGAACAAAACUCAGAGGUUUUGGCAUUCCUGAGGUCAUGUGUAAUGCUCUAAAACACAAAAACCCUGAUGACAGAAAGUCUGCAAAAAAUGUUAAAAAGUUCAAAAGAGCUGAAGUCAACUACCUCCCAUCUUACCCAGUGGGUGAAGAUGAGAGUACUUUGGAAACAGAGAGAGAAGAGCUGGUCUCAGAAUUGAAAAAAAAAGAACAAUGAAAAGAUGAACAAAACAUUUGCUCAUAGACGACAUGAAAUCAUUAAUCGGUGUCCAAGUGUGCAAGAUAUAAAGGAACGAUGGCCAGCCCUGUUUCAGCCUUCUCAAGUGACUGCAGAAUUUCAGAGAAUAACCACAGUGCAGCUGGAACCUAAAUUGAUGUCCUCAUUGGACCCUCACACUCCCAAGCUGCUGACACUGUUUUGUGCCAAAGGAGGAGCACUUGGGCAAAGACUGAAAACUGAGAUGGAAUUACUGAAGGAUGGGCAUUGUUCUGUUGAUAUGACAAGAGAGGUCGUUAUCCGCUUUAUGAUAGAAUUCCUUGGGGAACAUGCAGGAGAUCAAAGAAUUCAACGACAAUGAAGAACAGACAGGAAUUGAACAGCUUGUGAUGGCAGUAAUUGUGACCAGGACAGGAGCUUCAAGUGACAGUCCAAAGGACACUGGAAUUGUAAUCGAGGGUGUGAAAGUUCUCACAGGCCUUGAAAGUGUUCCCAGGGCUUGCUGUGUCCUCCUUGGUUUGACAUAUGCACUGAAUCUUCAUUAUCCCAGGCAUCUAAAGAAUACCUUCGAGGUAUUUCAAAAACUUCUCUUGCUUCGAAGCUGUCAAACAGAGUCCAGUCCCUCAGAUCUAGACUGCUGUCUUAAAAUAAGCUUGAUGCUUCAAAUCUGUUGUGAGCCCGUCUCACAAGUCAACACUGCUGUUUUAAAAUGAGAUUGCUAUUCGUUUAACUAAGUUCAGUAGUUAAAAAUAAGCUUGAUGCUUCAAAUCUGUUCAAGUCCAUGCAGUCACACAAGUCUACACGGCUGUUUUAAAAUGGAUUGCUAUUUGUUUAACUAAAUCCACUUGUUAAAAUAUCUACACUGUUUUAAAAUUAGAUUAUUAGUAUAAUCUGUUAUGUGGUUCGAUGUUGCAGAAAAAGAAGUAAAGUUUCUUUUGUGUUCAGAAAACAUGGAAACCUUGUUUUUAUAUCCAUUUUAUUUUAAACGGUGCGACUGCAUUGUGUAUUUUGAACAGUUUGUGCCUAAAAAGAGAACACCAAAAGAGACAAAUUUGCACUUUUUGCACUCAUCCUGUGCGAAUUGAUGUGUCUUAAAAUGUGAAAGAUGCAGUUCUGUUUGUAAAGAGUACGGUAUAUUCACACUGAGAACACUAAUACAUGCGAUUUUUGUGACAUGUUGGCAAUAAAAGGAGUUUGUAAUUCAUUUUAUGUCUGUCUUUUAUUCAUACCUGAAAUCAGAUUUAAUUAAAUUAAUCCACUUAUUUAAAAUAAUACCAUCUUAAUUUUGUGUUAAAUGAAAACAAUUCCAUUUAGUAGUAUUCAUUAUCAUUGUGCUUUUUUGUCCAAGGAAACCAAUAUUUUUGUUUAAAUUUUAAUUAAUUAUUUUGAGUGAUAUUUGCAGUUACUCAUUUUGAAUGGUUGAUUUGUAAUGAGCUCAUUUGAUAAAUUCUAACUCAAUUUGUGAGUGUUGUUGAAUUUAAUUAAUAACAUUGCUUGUAAUCUGUUGCCACAAUUUUAUUGAGUAAAUAUAGGGUAUUAUUUUUUACAGUGUACUCUAGUUACUCUUAAAAUCUUAAAAAGUGAAUGUUAUUGCCUAUACCUUAUAUCGGUUCUCUUUUACAUUUCAGUCUAUUUUCAAUCCGUGAGUGAUACACUAACAAACACUGUUCCUGUGCAUUACUUAUUUUUAUCCCACAGAAACACUAAUAAUCAAAGUACUCAAACUGUCAUUUCCCAUUUUGUACAUUAAGUGAGAAUACAACCACGUCACUUAAUGUAAUUUUCUCUUCUGUUAAAUCACAAACGCAUGGCAAAAGCACAAAUAUAAAUGCUUCGCAUAACUGCGGGAAUGCUAAGGAGAAAACCUCCAAGGUUUUUUUUAAGGCUGCAGAAGAGUAAGUCUGACCUCUAGUGGCUAAAAGAUGCUAGAAUUAUCAAAGUGUAUGCUGUGUUUACAAAAUUAUUCAGUUUAACGAGUUUUGCUACUUUCAGAACUGAUUGCUGUGGACUCUUGCCUUUACAGGCAAAAAAGUCAAAUAGAGUUAAAAAGGCAAUUUUUUAAAUAAAAUAACCAAGUUCAAAAGUUGACAUACACCUGAUUAUUAGUACUGUACAAUGUUACCCCAAUCAAUGGCAGUUUUGUAAUAGUUGUUGAAAAGUUUCUUGUUUGUCCUGAGCCAUUAAACUGUCCACUGGUCUCCAGAAAAAUCUUAGAUCUUGCACAAUCUUUGCUUUUUCGGCAUUUUCUGCAUAUUUGACAAUUGUUCACCAGUGACUGUAUAGUGUUGAGAUCCAUCUUUUCUUACUGAGGACCAUCAAGAAAUUCAUACACAACUACUACAAAAGAUAUUAACAUUCAGUGAUGCUCAAGAAGGCAACAAAAUAGAAUACAUGUAUUGCCAGGUAUGUAAACUUUUAGGCUGGGUGUUUUCAACAUUCUCCAGAUUCUGCUAGGUGAAUGUAAACUUUUGUUUUGACACAACUGCAUGAGCCUUCUCUACUCUAACAUAGCCUUGUUUUUCCCUCUAUGUCUCAUCCUUUGGGACCCCAGAGACACAAGAUACAGAAGAUCCAAGUCCGGUUUUAGCUGAUGUUGCCUUAUACCACCAGAUGAUGAUCACAGCCAGUGUUGG
Molecule: long non-coding RNA, 4537 nt
Organism: Triplophysa rosa
Lineage: Eukaryota; Metazoa; Chordata; Actinopteri; Cypriniformes; Nemacheilidae
Exons: 5
Source: RefSeq, a predicted model, not a curated record